This is an RNA transcript of Catharus ustulatus (Swainson's thrush), 6679 nucleotides long. It is a transcript of the gene named RAN binding protein 17, with no coding region annotated. The transcript has 12 exons. NCBI's taxonomy places the organism in Eukaryota, Metazoa, Chordata, Aves, Passeriformes, Turdidae. The record is from RefSeq and is a predicted model, not a curated record.
CCCGGCACCCCGGCCGGUCCCAGCGCUGCCGCUGCCUCCGCAGGGCCCGCCCGGCAGGAUGCACAGCGCGGGAGGAUGCACAGCUCGGAAGGAUGCACCGCUCGGAGGAUACGCCGCUCGGGAGGAUGCCCUGCGCUCCAGAAAUGUUGGAAAAUGCAAAAUAUGAUCUGAUUCUAGUAGUGCUGGAACCUGGCACCUACAAGGCCUGAUGUGUGAGCAGUGCUGCCUUUCCCCCAGGGCAUCGUGACCACUGUGGAACAGGAAAGGUUCUCCCAGGCUCAGGAAAUGGAGCUGGUUGAUUAUUCAAGACCUUCAGCAAAGCCUUGUGAAACAACUGCCUCAUUCUGUGACACCUCUCUGAAGGACAUUCUGCUGCUUGUGUGCUCUUUGGAAGAAGGAGUUUUCCAGACCCCUUUCAUGGAUGCCCAGUUACCCCAGGAUAAAAAUGAAGAAGUAGAACUGGCAAUUCUGUGGUUCCUUGGAUCAGAGUGUGAGAGCCCAGCUUCAGCACAACUCAAAGUUUUCAUAGGAAAAGUGACUCGAGGUUGGCUUUGCUGGGCCCUGCGGUGCUGAUGGAAGCUCCAGCAGUUGCUGCUCCAUUCCCUCCUCUCAAACACCCAGAGAUCUGCACACUACGAGAUGGAGUCAAACUAAACAUAAAUCAUUGAGUAACACAUCUUCGUGGGAUCCCAGCCCGUGAGGUUGUCCAUGGAUAACAUAAACCACAAACACAGUCCAAGCGCACACUUAAUUGUGUCAGGUGAGAAUCUGCACUCUCAGACUAUGAAGACUUGCUCUUAAAGGCAUCCAGUUAAUUUAAGGUGUAUGCCUGGAUGUCUGGAAUCUGGGGGAUAACAGGUGACAAUCAUGUUCUGGAAGAAUUAAUGACAAAAAUGUAAGUUUGUGCUUGGCUUCUGUUGUGUAUGUUGUUUGUUUUGUCUUUAACAUGCUGAUAAGUUUGCUCUUUGCCAGAGAAACGUUUUCUGUGAAUUUGAACUGUUUGAAAUAAGGGAUAACCAUUUUCUGAAGGACCGUACAUUAUUUUCUGAAGGUCCUGCAAGCCUCUGAGUGAGCAGCUGCAGCUCAGCAUUCCCCCACAGUGCCUGUGUCCCCUCUGAGAUGGCUGAUGGGGUGGAGUGGGGAUGUGCCAGCCUCCUGCUCAGUGCCAGACAGGCACAGGCAGCCCCCAUCCCCCUUCUGCACCCUCACCCCGAGCUGGAGCUGCCUGUAAAGCCUCAUGGCAAUUCAGAGUGGGGAACUGACCAAAGUAAAGAAAUCUUCCUGUGUUUUGGGAAGUUUCCUUGGAUUGAUUUUUGUUCAAGGUCUGACAAAGUUUGCUAUCUUAAAAAUACAGAUUGACAGAGGAGGAUUCUCAGGCCCCAUACUAAAGGAGAUGAGGCACCAUCAUCAGCUGUCCUCACACCUCUGGCAUUGGCAGAAUGACACGGGGUGGGAUUUUGGCAGAGAACUGCUGCAUUUAAACUCUCUCAUAAGAAUAUUCCUAGACACUCUGGAGAACAUGCUGCUUCUCAUGCCUCUGCUGCAGCAGCUUUCCUUGGCUGCCAGCAAAAUUACCAGGAUUUUGGUAUUUAUUACAUACGGCCUUCAUGUUAUUCACUAGUUUCUCCUGACACAAAAAGAGUUUCAUCUAAAAUCCAUUUUGCUGUUGAAGCAAAACAAAGUGAUCCCUCUGAAAAUAUGUGAAUACACACUAAAAAAUCUGGGAGUCCCCAGGAGACAUCAAGGUCUGUGUGUGCCUGGAGAAAGAGAAAGCAGAGUCUGCCCUCUUCACCUGCAGGGAGGGAGAUGCUGUCAUUUGCUUGCUGUGCUCUGAAUGUGACUUGCAGCACCUCUGGACGCUCCAGUGGCCUUGGCAGCCGGGCAGAGCUCUCUGCUGGUGCCACCAGGCUGGGACUGUCCCGAGCAGGGCUUGUCUUUUGCUGCCAUGGCACCAACCUUGAGGAACAGUGACAAUUCAAACAAGGCCAUAUACAACUCAAAUGUCUGUGCAACACCAGGCAUAGAUGCUUUGCUCCCUCAAACCAGGGUCUUGUAUCUUCCCUUAGGAUAACAGCAGUGCUCAUCCCACCCUGGUGUGUGUCUGGAGCAGCCUUUGAAGUCGGGUAAAUGGGGGGUGAUGGAUUGAAAAAUGCUGCUGGGGUUCCUGUGCAGCUUCUGGAGGCGCCUGUGCCAUGGUGUGGUGGCUGGGCUGUUCUUGGCUCUUUCAAACUGCAGUGAGCCUUGACAGGUGGGAAAAGGAGGCAGAGGACUCUUCUUUGGAUACCACAUGCAUCAGUUUGCUUCUCUUGCUGCUCACUGAGAGGAAUUCUCUGUUAUGCUUGCCAGCUGAAGGAAUUCCAUCAUUUAACAAGUUGUAUGAGCAGUCCUGUUGGGUUUGAUUGGAUAGGGUUGUGUUUGUACAGCUACUGUAAAUUAAGUAAAAAGAAUUUAGUAUUUUUAUGUUAAAGAGUUUAGUGUUAACGGGUUUUAGUGUUUCGUGGAAGAUUUUAAAAGGAAACAAGGUACAUAAAAAAGCAAAAAUCAGUGCUGCUCUUUAGAUUACUCACUGUAGUUUUAUUUUCUCUUUCCUCAUGGGUUAUUGUGUUUUCAUAAAGCUGUGACUUGUUAAUUGAUUAGACUGAAGAUCAUAUUUAACAGAAUGGGUGGUUCAGCCUGGCAUGGACACCUCACUGAGUGGCUGUAAGAAUCCUGGAUAAACACAGCUGUGUUUGUGGCAAUUGAAACAAAGGGUCUUCCUCCCAGUGGUGCAUGGCAGGGGGAAAUUCUGGCUGUGAAAUCAUAGCUGUUGAUCUAUAUAAUCCAAACCCAGGGUGUGAUGGGGCCAUCCAGUCUGGCAGUGCUCUGCCACUGGAACAUUUCAGCACGUUUGCAGCAGCAGCAGGACCCCUGACUGUAAGCCUGUUCCCCUGCCCCUCUGUGCAUGGGGUGAGUGUUUGAACCACAGCAUUUUACAAAGCCACUCAUCUGCUCCUCUGUCUCACCCCAUAGAUCCAGCUUUUCCUUUGUGGGAGCCCCUGCCUUGGUGAGACUGAGACUGGAGCAGUUUUAGUCCCAUCUGCUCCCUGAGCCUGUCCUGGGCCUUAGGCUGGAAGUGUCUUAUCUUUAUUUGGGCUGCAAUCAUCUUUCCUUUUCUUCCCUUACCCUUUGUGAGCCUCUUUUUAAAAUUUUUUAAUUAUUAUCAAAAUCACGUGUAAAUAAUUUCUCAUGCGGUGGAUUUACAAAAUAUUUUCCCAAGUAUUAAGCAUUUGUGGUCAUGAUAAAAGAAGUGAAACAUGAAUAAGAGGUGCAUGCCCAAACAUUGCUGUUGGACACCACUGUGGUGAAUGCACAUUUGUGUCAAUAGAGGGAUUGUCCAUGGUACAACUUUUCAGUGUGGAUCUCUGAAUAUUCCUGGAUCACUCACACUGAAAUGGCUCCUUGAAUCACAGCAAACAAAACCUCAGUACUUCUGCUCAUGAUAGAAUGUGCAGUUUUUAGCUAUUCACCUUUGUCCAGCUCUAAUGAAAAGAAUAUAUCCCCUUGCUGUCUGAGCCACCAGAGCUUCCAGGGUAAGUGAUGAUAAUCUGUCAGAAAUAAUUAAAACCUGACUGUACAGAGCUUUCUUGCCAACAAAUUGCUUUCUGUGUUUGUACUGAAACUUCAGCACCACAUAAGGAACAGAUUUUCAAAGUCUUUUCAGGGGUUUUGGAGGCCCAUUUUUCUUGCACUGCGUUGGGUAUUGGAUAGCAAUAUCCUUAAGCAACUUUGAAAGUUUUGUUUAAAAUGUAGGAUUUUUUCCCCAUCUUUGUGAUUUCUGCAGUGCAACUGCAUUUGUAAUAUCCUUAACUUGCAACCAAAACUGUUGGUAAAUUUACAUUCCCAGUUCAUGUAAUUCUUAGAUAAGCUUGAAAGGGUUUCACUCUCUCCUUUAAUUUUUAUUUAUUUAUUUAUUUUAUUUAUUUAAAUUAUUUAACAAGUAAACAAAACCCCAAAACAAGAACCUCACCCAAAUUUGGUGUUUUAUGGCGGUCAUCGCCUCUUCUGGCUGCUAGCAGCUGAUCUCUUGUAAUUGCUUCCUUGGCAAAUUCCCAGCUCCCCUGUGCUUGGGGAGCCCUUGUGUGUGCAGGAAUUCCUGAUUUCCUGGGAUUCCUGAGCUCCUGGGAUUCCUGAGCUCCUGGAAAACCUGAUUUCCUGGAAUUCCUGAGUUCCUGGAAUUCCUGAGCUCCUGGAAUUCCUGAGCUCCUGGAAAUCCUGAUUUCCUGGGAUUCCCGAGCUCCUGGAAUUCCUCACUGGGAUGGUGAACCCUCCAGCACCUUCCAGAAAAGGGGUUCAGGGCCUCCUGGAAGGAGGAUGACUGCUCUGAAACUUCAUGGUUGUUUCCUUUGACUCUGUUACAUUUAGUUGGACUUUUAAAUCACUUUAUCACCGAGUGACAAAGAUGCAAGGACCCUGGGCAUUGGAUUCAAGUGCUGUCUUGCCAUGAUUUCUCUGAGAUCUGUAAAUUUUUCUGCUCUUUCAUUCCUUGCUUCUCUUCUUUACGUACUGAAAAGCUAUUUUUUGUAUUAGGAGAUUCCUGUCUAGAUCUUUAGAAGUUUUCUCAGAUACUUACAAAGUUUUGUGAAUGUUUCUUAAAAUACAAUCUUUUAUGUGUGUUUCAUCUUGCCUGAUACUGGCAAGGCAGAAACAGAAAUGGGAAUUGCUGUGAUUGCCUCUGUUCACCCACCAGUACUUUCCAGCUUUUAUAUUAUUGCUCCAUCUUUCAGCAUCCAAAUACAGCCCUGGACCAAAGAACAGAUGCAGACAAAGUACUGGGGAUGCUGGAUGAAGAGAUUUCCUUACACAGUUUUAAUUUUCUCUUCAAGCUGUCACCGUGGUUUCUUGUUUUUCUUUAAAUGUCUCCUAACUGAAGGAUAAAGAUUUUGCUCUUUUGCAAAGUAGCCUUUUUAUGAUUUUGAUAUUGGUGUCAAAUCUGGGUAGUUCAAAUUCUUUUCUAUUGCUUUGUAUGGCGAAGGAUUUAGUGCAACUAUAAACAUCUCCAGAACUCCCCACAGUAGGGAUAAACUGUGAAUUAUGGACUUGUUAGGAUGGGCUAUUUCUUUAAGGCAAUCUGAACCCAUGGAGCUCUUCUCAGAGAUUUUAUAAAGUAAAUCAAUGUCUGUCUGCAAAUUUAAAUUGAGGAAUUGCUUUGGUAAUUGCAUUGUUAUGUGCCUUUUCCUGAACAAAUAAUACUAAACCUUGAGAUGCUUCAAACUGUGUUCGUGAGUUUUUAACUUCCUGGAAAAAAAUAGUUUAUGUGUUGUAUGCAUCUCCUAGCCUGUGAAUAUGUGAAAUCAAUAAUCAGUGCUGAUUUUAAGACAUUUAACAUCUCUUCUCCAGGUUCACUUCAGUUUCCAGUUCCCCAAACUGAAAUCCUUCUGCAUCACAGUACACAGAGCUGGUGCUGAUGGUAAUUCCUGCAUCACGGCCUGUCAGCAGUGGAUGUGACAGCUGAAAGGCCCAUGAAACUCCCAUGAUGUGAGAUUUCUCCGUGAGAGCCCCGAGCCCGACCCUGCUGAACACGUGCAAGGACAAGGCUUGGCUGGUUUGUUCUGGUUCCUUUUCCUGGAGGAGAUGAGGAUGAGUUUGGGAAUUUCCUGCUCCCACUCCCAGUUUGAUUCAAAGUGUGACUCAGACACUCAGCAGUGGUUCUGAACAAAGACAAACAAAGGAAAAAUUUCCAGCAUUAAAACAGUGCCUAAUUUUGUCCCAAGAAUGCCAAGAUUUCUCCUGGCAGUGUGGUUUCUUUUCCCUUGCACAGGUUCAGGAUGUUUUCCUGCCUCCCCUCCAGCUGCAGAGAAGUUCUGCUUCUGUUCAGUGGAUUUCAUGUGCUCAAGUCCAGCUGCAGCAGCUAUGAUCCCAACAUUGUGAUCACAGCUCGUAUUUACUGUAGUAAAACAGAAAGGAACACAAUUGUCUCCUCCAGUUGUUGGGCUACUUCAGACUGCAUUGUCUCCUGCUUCUUUGGGCACCUGGCUAAAGAAGAGCAGGAGACUCUCAGAGGAUUUCACAGCAUGGACAAGGGUCCCUCCACGUCACGCAGGUCACUCAGAAGACGCUGGAGGGAAGUGGCCAAAGCUCUGCACUGCAAAGGAGCCUCCAGACCCAAGGGUGUGGGUGUGAUUUGAAAGGACUAUGGAAACUGAGCACUGACUGAUAAAGCAUCUCAGAAAGUGCUGGGGCCCUUUUAUAUUGUUAGAGAGAUUUUUUUUACCCUUGUGAAAACUAUUUUUAAAGAUAUUUUCUACAUUUUUCUAUCUCCAGCCUAAAUGUAAGGAUUUAUAACAGUGAAAACAAUGGAAAACCAGCCUUAGUUUGAAGAAUGUUUUCAGCCUUUCUUAUCAAAAUUUAUAAUCCUGUUGUUUUAGCUUUAUGGAACAGUGUACAAACAGUGUAUAAUCAAAGAACAAAAGGAUAUGCAUUCCUUCUGAAUUUGUGUCAGUUCUCAUACGUACAUUUACUAUUAUGUACAUGAUAGUAAUUAAUACCUCAUCAGUUCAAACCUCCAAGCUCACUUCUGAAGAUGUUUGAAAAUGAGAUGCAAGCCUGUACAAACUUUAUAUUACAUCUCUUCAAACUAAUAAAAUUGCUACUUUUCUACAAAAUGUUCCAUACUUCUUUGCAGCAUGGGUGAUUAGUGACA